Fukomys damarensis (Damara mole-rat) is the source of this 114-nucleotide non-coding RNA. The record is from Rfam. NCBI's taxonomy places the organism in Eukaryota, Metazoa, Chordata, Mammalia, Rodentia, Bathyergidae.
GUAGGCUAUGGUGACAUGUGCCCAACCACCCCAGGGGGAAAGAUUGUGGGCACUCUGUGUGCCAUUGCAGGGGUCCUCACCAUUGCCCUCCCUGUGCCAGUCAUUGUCUCCAAC